GAUGAAGAACGCAGCGAAAUGCGAUAAGUAAUGUGAAUUGCAGAAUUCAGUGAAUCAUCGAAUCUUUGAACGCACCUUGCACCCUUUGGCAUUCCGAAGGGUAUGCUCGUUUGAGUGUCAUUGUACUCUCACACUUCCGAUCUUUGGAUUGGGAGCGGUGGACUUGGGUGUUGCUGCUUACUGUGGCUCACCUCAAAUCGAUUCGUGCACCUCUUGGUUGGACAUAGUACGGCGUGAUAAGUGUCUUCGCCGGCACCUCAGUAGAGGGUGGCUGAUCGGGAGCUCUGUGCUUCAAACCGUCCUCGGACAACAACUGACAACUUGACCUCAAAUCGAGUAGGACUACCCGCUGAACUUAAGCAUAUCAAUAAGCGGAUGA
Molecule: unclassified non-coding RNA, 379 nt
Filed under: soil metagenome
Description: partial contains 5.8S ribosomal RNA, internal transcribed spacer 2, and large subunit ribosomal RNA
Rfam family: 5.8S ribosomal RNA (bases 1-120)
Source: RNAcentral